GGUCCGCCUUUGGUGUGCA
RNAcentral lists this non-coding RNA (19 nucleotides) under Arabidopsis thaliana (thale cress). The record is from RNAcentral. Lineage: Eukaryota; Viridiplantae; Streptophyta; Magnoliopsida; Brassicales; Brassicaceae.